CUCCGGGAGGGCGGAGAGCUGGCGGGAGGGCUGCGGCUAGGAAGCGACGCGAGCCCGGACGCAGCCCCGAGCAAGGCCGACCGGACCGGAGAGCUCCCGGUUCCUGUCUCCGGUGAUAGGAAGAGACGCCCCGCCCCCAGAGAAAACUUGUUAUUUUAUUCCUGUACGUGUCAUAAAUAAAACUUGCACGUAAAUAAAUAAGGAACUUUCCAGCGUGAACGGCUGGCGCGGGCUCAUAUUGGAACCGACUUCCAGCUACACUGACUCUGCGCGUUUCUGAAACCUCCUGGCCUCUCCACUUCUCCCGCCACCAACAGAAAAUCGCAUCAGGGCUCCCCAGCCUUUCUUUCCCUUGGCUCGGGGCUGGGGAGUCCACGGGGCUUUGGUUUUUAAGAUGUGCUCACUGUCCAGGCAAAAUGCAUUUAGCGAAAGGACUUCACCCCGCCGUGACGGUAGCAGUCUUUGAUGGACCUGAGGAAAACAAUGCUGUGUGGCGACAGUGAGGAGUAGUCCUUCAGCGGGCGACUUCUCCCGCAGCUCGAAGUGGCGUCACCACAGGCCACCCUGACUGGCUUCUCUAGUAGGGCUGUGUGGCACAUACUUCGGUCAUCUUCGUAAAACAGCACGAAAAGAGACAUGUUUACAACUGAGUAAACAACGCGUGCAGAGUUUGGAUGCCACGUGCACAAUUUCUAAUAAUAAUUGUUGAUUGACGUCUGCCACUCAACUUAUCUUUAGCCUAUUUAAAGGAAGACGAUAUGAAAUUCAGUUUAAUACAAUAUUCGCAUGACUUAGCAACCCACAUAUUCCUUUAAUUACAGGGCUUUGGGCAGAGCCUAGAGAUCUAAAUGCAAAUAAACACAUACCUGAGGAUAGACACACAUACAUCAUAUACAUACACAUUGCAGGUAACCGUCAGGAAGAAAAAGACUUUUUUAGUGUUGAUAAGAACAGAGCCUUGAUUAAACAGAACUUUGAGUCUUGUAGCAUGCUCAUUAGGACACCUGCCAGCUUCACACUUGUCCUUUCAGGUCAGCAGAGUUAAGUUCAUCCUUAAAAUGCAAAGCAGAAUUUUAAAAAUUCGUUAGCCUAUAACUUUGAGCAUGCUAUCACCAUUCCUAUUUUUCAAAUUGAGAAAAUUUCCUAGAUCACAGGUAACCAAAAGCUGAAAGACACAUUUUCCUUUAGAAGAACUUAAUAGACCUUUCUAAGGUUUAGCAGCAAUUUGCCAAAAUAGGAAAAAACCAACCCCACCAUCCCUGUAGCCCAUGUGCUCGUCUGUUCUGGCAAAAAAGAUGAAGUUCGUAAUCAGCAAUGCGUUUGUUUAAAAACACAAAAUUCUUCCUCAAAGACUGACAUGUAGUGUGAGGCAGGUCCUUGUGCAUUCCACAGAACAAGUGCUAGACAGUACAUUUCUGGAUACACAGUUAUCGCCUUGAGACAUUAAUAUGUUCAGUGACUCAUUUAACAAACAUGACAAAACAAGAUCAGAGAUAACAGUAAUUUGCCCUAUUGCAGAUAUAUGGCUAAGUAAAGGAGGGGAGAGGAUAAAUUUGAAGAAUAAAAUUCUUAAUAAGGAAACAACAAGCCAGCAAAGAUACCUUCUCACUAGAAAUUAUGGACAAGCAAAUCAGCCCUUCAAGUCCUUAGGGUCCAUAACUGAUGUUGGCCCAUAGGGAAUGAAAUUGUCUGACACUAUGUGUUUCUUCCACAUGGCUACAUGUUUGGCAAAUAUUAGACUCUAAGUUUUUGUUUCAAAGAGUGAAUUAAUACACCAAUCAAUGAAUAGAUGAGAUAUAAACUUUCUGUAACUUUUAGAAAAGAUUUGCCUACUUGCAUUAAAAAUCACUAAAAUGUUUGUAUUCUUUGAUCUAGUAGCUUUUCCAUAAGAAAACUCCAAAAUACUAAACAUUUUAUAUACAUUGAGAUAUCAUUGAUAAAAGAGAAAGUGGAAAUAAUACAAUGUCCUAUAAUAAGUAGAUUCAUGAGCAUUAUAUAGUAAAAUAUCUCACAGUCACCAGAAAGGAAGGUUAUGAAAAAAGUAAAUUGCAAAAUAGAGGAAGGUUUAUGAGAGAAUUUUCAAUGAAAAAAUGCCCGAGACAAUAGAGUUUCAGUUUAAGAAGAUGAAAAAGUUCUGGGGAGGAAUUAUGGUUGCACAAAAAUGCGAAUGCACUUAAUGCCAUCAAACUUCACACUUAAAAAUGGACAGAGUUGUAAAGCUUAUAUGUAUAUCACGACAGUAAAAAAUAGCAGAAAUCUACAUCUACUUUGAUAAGAAAGGAAAAAGAUUGAAAGAAAAACAUGAACUGUGGUAUCCAUUACAUAUAAUAUAUUUAAAUAUGCAUGUUAUAUAUAUGUAUCUAGUGGAAUCUCAGUUCACAAACUUGACUCCACGGUUCUGGCUGCAAACUGAAUUAGACGAGAGUUUAGGUUCAAUGUUAACCUUAUAAGGAGGGUUGGGGGACAAUGCAGUGUUUCUCAACAUUUUGGAUAGUAGGACUCUUUAAUCGAGGGGUGUGUUAAUAAGCUUCCUGCCAUUGUGACAAAAUACCUGAGAUCGUGAACUUAUAAGGACAAAAGGUUUAUUUGGAUGCAUGGAUUCAGAAGAUUCAGUCCAUGCACUGCACCCCACUGACUGGUGCUAUAGAGCAGCAGUGCAUGGGGAGGAUGUCUCCGGUGGUGAAACUUACUAGGUUACUGUGAAGGGGCCACCAUUUCCCCAAGAACGCUGUAGGCUGGGGACCAAACUCACAACUGGUGCACCUUUGGGAGACUUUCAAGAUCCGAAGUAGAACAAGAGGAAUCCCUCAGGGCUAAGGUUAUAGGGCAACAACUUGGGAAACACUGCCUUAAACAGCAUUCACUAUCUCUAUGCUUCAAUUUCCUUCAUAUGAAAAUGCAAUUAAUCAGAUUUUGCAGAGGAGUCAGUGAAAUAUAUCUUUUUCUCAGAGAUGCAAAUUUAGUCCUAGGUAUAGAUAUGAAAGGGCCUAGAUGAUAAUAGUUAUCUAGUCUAAAAUAACUUGGAUGUUAUUUUCCUCCUCUUCUUCACUGAAAGAUUAUAUCCACAAACCUGUACCUGGCAGAAGUAAGUUCCUAUUUACCCAGUGACAGAGCUUGAGUUUAUACACAGCAUGCACAUAUAAGCAAUUAAUUAGCUAAUAUCCAUGGCCUGUUAGUAGAGACUAAUUGCUUAUAUUAUGCUUUUCACUUUGGAAAGUGUAUUCAGCCGUGUGAUCUCAAUCCAGCCUCAUUCCAGCCCUGUGGAGGACCCAAGGCAGGUAGUAUUAUUAACUCCACUUAACUGAUGAAGAGAGCUU
Long non-coding RNA from Heterocephalus glaber (naked mole-rat), 3317 nucleotides. The record is from Ensembl. Lineage: Eukaryota; Metazoa; Chordata; Mammalia; Rodentia; Bathyergidae.